GCAAGAUCCAGUGGUCGUGGCCCAGAAGGCUGUGCAGAGGAGGGGACUGGGCCAUGGCCGGGGCUGCUGCAGGCUCUGGGAGGCUGGGCCGGCCACCUCCAGGCCUGAGCUUUUAUCUGGACCAAAGAUGAGCGGAUGGGUGUUCACCUGAAGGAAGGUCACGGUGAUGGUGCCACCAGCUCUAUUCCCAGCCUCGUCAAGGGCAUUGUUUUGAUCUUGAAUGAAGAUAUGAAUUGAUCUAAUUUGGGGUAUGGUCCAGAUGCAACAAGUGAAUUGGAUAACAGCCAGGAUCACAGAGAAGCUGACAGGCUCGAACAGCCUACCAGAUCUACUAAGUCGGGAUCAACAGAGCUCCACGUAAUCUCCCUCUUAGUUCAGGGUCAGGUGGCAUGUAACUGGCAGCACGCGUGAAAAACAAAGGUGAUCCCAUUUGCGAGAAAUGGGGUCUUCAACCAAGGAGGUGACUGUCUCUUAUUCCCUCUGCAGGAUGGGCCUUUGCCAGAGUAAGUGGUCACAUGUGGGGGCCACCAUUCAUGAUGAAAGGAAACAGGCCCCAGCCAAGGACAGCAAGGUUAGUGACAGCUUCAAGCCAGGUCACCAGAGAAAUAGUCGAAGGACUCGGGGAUGUUUUGUUCACAAAGCAAAAACUUUGGGGUAGGAUGGUUGCCUCCAGGCGUCUAGAAGGAAAUACUCCAGGAAGACCAAAGAACUUCCUAAGAUCAGUAGGGAUGUCUGAUGAGGGAGUGAGUGGCCUGUUUGUGGAGGUGAUGAAGAAGAGGCCAGAUGCGUACACACUAGGCACAGGCGGGAGCUGGAGUGGAUGGCUGUGCCUGACUCUACCUAUGCUGACAAGCCCCCUAAAACGAGGGGUUUGACGACCCCUCAGCUUUCCAUCACCUUGGGCAGAAGCACUGUACUGUACCCAUUAAGCAGUAACUCCUUUUACCCUCCACCCCUGGUGACCUCUCUGCUGUGUCCCGUCUCUGCGAAUCUGCCUCUUCCAGGUGCCUCGUGACACGGAAUCACACAGCGUGCGCUCUGUAUAUGGCCUACUUCAUAAUGCCCUCAGGGUUCGUCCACGACUUCAUUCCUUUCUGUGGUUGAUAAAUAUUCCGGUGUACGCAUAGACCACAUUCUGUUUAUCCAUUCCUCUGUUCUAGAACCUGCUUUCAAGUUCUUUGGGUAUGAAAAGAGCAUAUUGUUUUGUGACCAACUUUUCUCGUGAAUGUAUUAACAUUCCCCAUAUCAGUAGAUGUAUUUUUUUUUUUUUUUUAAGAUUUUACUUAUUUGAGAGAGAGUGUGUGUCCAUGAGCAAUGUCAGGGGAAAAACAGAGGGGGAGAGAGAGAAUCUCCAGCAGACUCCCCACUGAGCGUGGAGCCCAAUACGGGGCUCAGUCUCAUGAUCCUGAGAUCAUGACCUGAGCCGAAAUCAAGAGUCAAACGGCCAAGGGGCUGAGGCACGCAGGUGCCCCAUCAGUAGAUGUAUUUGUGCAAUGAGAUGCUUAGAGCACGCCUGGUUCUCCAUGAUGUGGUGGCAGUUUUGGUAAUAAGUUCUCUAAUACACACUGAGGUGCCUUACGGCUUUUCCGCAUAGUGACAUCCUUAUACCUAGAUUUUUUAAAGUUAUUUUUAAGUUGCACAUGUACUAUAUGAAUGCAAACUCCUUUUGAAAAAUUUAAACAUUACAGAUGAGAUUAAAGUCUCCCUGGGGGCACCUGGGUGGCUCAGUCAGUUA
Molecule: long non-coding RNA, 1735 nt
Organism: Zalophus californianus (California sea lion)
Lineage: Eukaryota; Metazoa; Chordata; Mammalia; Carnivora; Otariidae
Exons: 3
Source: RefSeq, a predicted model, not a curated record